AUCCCAUCCGCAAGGAGUAAGACCCCUGAAAGACUAACAGGUUGAUAGGUUCAAGGUGUAAGCACAGUAAUGUGUUCAGCCAGCGAAUACUAAUCGGUCGAGGGCUUAACCUU
Molecule: ribosomal RNA, 113 nt
Organism: Ruminococcus sp. YE71
Lineage: Bacteria; Bacillati; Bacillota; Clostridia; Eubacteriales; Oscillospiraceae
Rfam family: Bacterial large subunit ribosomal RNA
Source: Rfam